RNAcentral lists this RNase MRP RNA (218 nucleotides) under Tripos fusus. Its description in RNAcentral is "partial RNase MRP". It matches the Rfam family "RNase MRP", at positions 21 to 258 of the family's 266-position model. Rfam says of the family: RNase MRP is an enzymatically active ribonucleoprotein with two distinct roles in eukaryotes. In mitochondria it plays a direct role in the initiation of mitochondrial DNA replication. Lineage: Eukaryota; Dinophyceae; Gonyaulacales; Ceratiaceae. The record is from RNAcentral.
UUCGCAGUGAACCUACGGGGAGCUUGCUCCCACCGAUGCUGCGGGGAAAGUCCCCGUGCCUCAGGGCAGAGAGUGCCAGCGGGAGACCGCAGGACUCGGGCAGGGUGUUGGCAGUGAGGCCACGGCGGAGCUGCAACAUCUGGCUUGGGUCGAUUGCAACAUCACAGCCAUGUCGUGAGUGCUCGAUUGAGGGCGCCAACUUAACGGGGCUCACUCUC